GCAGCCGCGGUAAUACGGAGGAUGCGAGCGUUAUCCGGAUUUAUUGGGUUUAAAGGGUGCGUAGGCGGUGUAUUAAGUUAGUGGUCAAACGUCGGGGCUUCACCUUGAUUCGCCAUUAAAACUGGUACACUCGAGUACAGACGAGGUAGGCGGAAUAAGUUAAGUAGCGGUGAAAUGCUUAGAUAUAACUUAGAACUCCGAUCGCGAAGGCAGCUUACCAGACUGUAACUGACGCUGAAGCACGAGAGCGUGGGUAUCGAACAGGAUUAGAUACCCC
Molecule: ribosomal RNA, 277 nt
Filed under: uncultured prokaryote
Description: partial 16S ribosomal RNA
Rfam family: Bacterial small subunit ribosomal RNA
Source: RNAcentral